Molecule: long non-coding RNA, 4656 nt
Organism: Triticum dicoccoides
Lineage: Eukaryota; Viridiplantae; Streptophyta; Magnoliopsida; Poales; Poaceae
Exons: 2
Source: RefSeq, a predicted model, not a curated record
UAGAGAGCACGGCCGACCCGACGGAGCUGAGAGCGCAUGCUCUCCAAACCAGAGGGGCAGAAAUAAGGCAGAUGGUGCGAGACGGGAGUUGUGCUACACAUCAAUCUUUACUCCUAAUGAAGCAGUUGGGAAGAAUAGGGGUGACGGGAUGGAUUUGGAUCUCAAGAUGGGGAGGCCAACGUGGUCGCCCCUAGUGCGUCGAGCAAAAGCAAGGAUUUGGAUCUCAUGGAUUUGGCUGCGUCGACCAGCAAAGGACCGCCGCCGGCUCGGCUCCUCCACCACGAAGCAACCUCCUUCCACCCCGUAGCCGCCGCCCAAAACCCUAGCAAUCGAGCCCCACCCAUUGCACCCUAGGUGGUACAGCGGCCAGAGGAGAGGAGAUGAGAGGAGAGGAGGUGGAGCAGCCAUCGCCUGGACUUGAGGUGAGCUUCCCCCAUCCAAUCUUAUCUACCCCACCCCCAGGUGGCUCACAAUAUCUAUCACCUGCAGCAGCAUCUUGUGCAUGCAUCCAUUGAGGACGUGAGGUGCACACCACAUUUUGGUUCAGUUUUUCCCUUCUUUAUUAUAAUUAUGCCAAGGACAUCUUAUGCCUUACAGUAGUAUUCAGAUUCUCAAGUUUGUUUAUUUAUUUUCAGUGCAAUACUGCUCUCCUGUCUGCAGGAGAUUGGAGGAAAAAUAUCAGAAAUCGGAAACAUGACGUUUUGGUUCAGUUCUGGAUCUUUUUCUUUUUUGGUUCAGUUUAUAUUAGUGGUUGUUGUUUUAUGUUGCUGCUAGCCAUCAGAAAACGAGUUCAUAGUAGGUUUCCAUCCUUACAAUUCAUUUUGUGUUGCUCUGAACUGAAAAAAGAGGGAAUACUGUUGUGCCUAGCUUGAAGUUCACAGUAGGUUUGGCAUCAAUCGAGCAAACAUUGUUACAGUUAUUAGUGGCUGUUGUAUGUAUUACACUUUUGCUUUUUCUAAAACCACAUGUAUCCUUUAAUCUGAUUGCUUUUCUUUGUGUGAGCAGCAGUUUCUGAGCUUUCCCUCCACUAUUUUUUUCCUCUCUCUCUCUUUCUCCCUCUCACUCAAUCUCAACUUGGCAAGCGAUGGCGGCGGUGAAUGGGCAGCGUGGGCGUCUAGCAGGAUCAUGGGGGAGCAGGGGAGGCCAGAGGCUGCUCACCAUAUACAUCGCCAUCCAUAGCCGCUCUCGUCCACCAAGAAGCUGAGGAGGGAGGCUGACCUCCAGUGACCACUCUGCACCGCUCUGGACGACACCCUCCCCCACCAGGUUUAUCCUCCUAAUUCGUUUUAAUCAUCCUAUUUUUUUGUCUUACCACAGUUAAGAAAUACGAUUCAUGUUUGCUAUUGCAUUGGGAGCUCCAUCCUUACAGCUUAUGGAUGAUAUGAAUACAUCAAGGUGUUUUGGUUCUCCCCAUUCUGUAUGGUCGCAAUGGAGUGUAUAUAUUGUUGAUUUAUGUCAUGGUGAUUGAUUUUGAUUGCAGAGAGAAAGUGCAAAAGCUAUGGGCAAUCCUAUAUGACUGGCGCCAUCAGUAAGGAUUUCUUUUAAGCUAGCUUACUUUUGGGUCUAAGUCGAGUUUAUUUCUUUUGCAGAUUUAUUCACCUUAUUGGGACGGUGGGGUUAAUAUAUAUACAUCAAUUUUGAGCAUCGGCAACGCAUGAAGCUUGCUUCUGAGGCUGCAACAUACUUUGCAAUCCCCCUGUGAAACAUACUCUUGUCACUAUGCACAUAUGGUUAUUCGAACGAAUUGAUUUCCAUUAGACUAUGUUUUUCCUAAUUACUUGUUAUAUGAUAUUCUUUACUAUUCAGAGGUUGUUGAAGGGAGAUGGGGCUCUUCAGGCCCCUUUGGUGCAAAAGCACAAGCAGCAUCUACAGCUGACCACUCAUAGCCUAGGAUGUCCUGCAGAUUUGAUCUAUUUUGGAUAGAGCACAUGGAAUCAAACCACGGGUAAUCAAUUUGCUAUAUUCAUGUGAUUAACUAUGAGGAAUUUAUUACCUCUGUUUUAUUUGUAGGAUACCCAAGCAGUGCGUACAAAUUGUAGUGGUGCUUGUAGCUUAUCAUCAAUCUGCCAUUAUUAUUUGUGUGUAUGUGUUCAAAACGACCACUCUAGGGAUUCUUGAUUUGCUCCUGGCUGCACCGUUGGGUUUCCCGCGGCUUUGUUUCGUUUGAGUUCUGUUGUUCAUACCAGUCUAAUUCGCCAACAUCAGAUUUCUAAUAAUGCUUUCAACCUGGACAGUCUGAUGUGAGCAAGUUUCUUGCCCUAUCCAUGCAUCAACCAACAAUUUCUUGAUCCAGGUGCCCCAUGCCCUAUAGGGAAGCAGAAGGGCAUCAACAUCAGUGCCAGCCGCCCCAAUGUGGGAGGAAACAGGCGGAUGCACGCCAGUUGCUCGACGCCUUCUUCUUCUUGAAUAGUUGGGUGACCCGCCAUUAAACCACUAAUUUUGGCUUGCUCGUUCUCUCCAAGCCCAUUGACUAAUUAAUUUAGUUGAUUGUCUGUAGAAUUCAUGGUGGUGAUGGACCUUUAUCUGCCCGAUGUUCUCAUGGAUUUUUCAUGCAACUAGCAGGUCGUCCAUGUUGUUCUUUAUGCAUUUAAAAAAUACUAAUUAAAGGGAAAGGCAUGAAUGUGUAAGUUUUUGCAGCAGUAGAUUCAGAGUGGGUUAAAAAAAUUAUACAAUUCUUCAACCUCUUAAUAAUUAUGCAAUCAUCUCCUUGGAGUAGUGAGGAGGGCAUGCGUCAGAGACCUGUCGACAGAGGGAGUGCAGGCUUGUGUUUCAUAAGGGGGAUAGUUGUGAGCAAUGCAUACAUCUAGGUUUUCUAUUUUUAUUUUAGAGACAAACUUAGUUGUGGGAUUGCCGUGUUAGUUUUUCAAAACGAAAAUUAAGUGAUGAUCAUGUUUUAUCAACAUAGGUGUAGAGAUAACUUUAAUGAGUAAACAAAUAAUUUUCAUGCAGGUCAGUUCUGAUGUGUGUUGAAUAGCUCAAUUUUGUUUUGAUCUUCUACGUUUAGUCAUUGUUUGCUCUAGCAUCAACACUAACUGUCACACCCACGCCGCCCCAUGGACGACCCUGACCGAGGUGCGGGUCGGUGCUUGCCGUGGGUGCAUCCGCAGCGGUGCAGUGGCCUGCACUCAUCGAAAGCUUUGAAGCUUGGGAAAGCCACAAAACCAGAUGUUCCCCUCAACCUGAAGAUGUGAACUAUGCUGCUUCUCCCCGUAUGUGUAUUGCUUCCGCUGGAUGAUGCUCUAUUGUCGUUGUUGCCUCAGCCCUCCCAAUUGUCGUUUUCUCCCCUUCUCUUGCUGCUCAAUGAGGUUGAUCAUGCUGCUAGCUUUUAAUUCUAUGGAGUCUCUAUCUCUGCCUAUGAUAAAUUCAGUAUCGGUCAAUACACAUGUUUGUACCAAUCCAAGCCCUGUUGAUGAUAUAGUUUGGACUUGUAAUGAUCUGACUAUGUAUACCUUUUAUGGGAUUAAUGAUCUGACUAUGCAUACGACGAGGGCGCCAUCCCCUCUCCCUCGCCGCGUCACACCUUUGUGCCCGUUGUAGAUGACGAGGGCGCAUGGGUUUGGUGCUGAUGUGGCGACGGUAGGGGUUGUCAUCAGAGAAGGAGGCCAACUAUGUCGUGGCAGGGAGAGGAGGAUGUGGGUGACACUAUUGAGAGAAGGUAGGCUAUGGGGGCAACAUGGGACGGGCUUGAUAAGAGGGGGAGGAGAGAUGGUGGGGGAGGAGGGGGUCGGUCGACGCCGUGAAGCGGAGAGGAGGAUGCGCUACACCGUCGAUGGAAGGGCGGCGGCAGGGAAACGCGUGGAUGCGAGGGGAGAGAGUUCCGCGUGAAGCCAAAUAUUCAGAUGUUGGCAACACUGUUUGAUAGCAUGCUUGGGGCGACUUGGUAAGUACAGUCUCUUGUCCAUUACUGUCAUGAUUUAUGGUUUCUAAUAGCUACCACUUGUAGAUUUAUUUUCUAUAUCUUCUAUAUGCAUCCAUCAACCGAAAUAUAUUGUACAUUCAGCAACAAACAUGCAUGUUGUGUGUAUGUUUUAGACCCUAUCCAUACAUCAUAGUCGCCAGAGAUUAAAACUCUGAAGCAUUUAGUGAAAUUAUAAAGAUUUGUGAGGUAAUUCGACGACGCACUCAAAAUUGCGCAACUCGGCUGAAAUUCUGACAUAUCUAGAUGACAAAGUAUAUUUCUGGUUAGUAUUCCAAUGAGCAUGGAUGGAUACAUUUAUAUAUUUCAUUACCAUAACAUUCAAGAUACACGCAUUUAUAAUUGUUAUCACUGUAUUCAAGAUAACAUUAAUUUGGAAAUUACAGGGAUGUGUUUGGCUAUUUUUGUUUUUAAUUUUAUGCUCUCAUGAAAUAAUAAAGAAUUGGUUCAUCUGGUUUGCACGUUGAGUAUUCUCCUUGCAUAUUUUUAGACCUUUCACAUAAAAUAUUCAUACUAGCUAGAUAUAUUGCUUGUGCAGGUGGUUAUGAGUUGAGUAAGAAGUUAUUAUUAUAUUUGCUCAAUAUCGUGCGAAUGAAGCUAAAGACAACAUUGACAUUGUGCAAGAAUAUCUUAAGCCCAUCAAUCAGAUCUUAAUUUGUAACAGAUUAAUAGUUGGAUCAUUGAUUUCUAUGUAUACAUUAUUUAGUUACCUUUUUUUAUCAAAUUACAUUACAAGGGAA